Molecule: microRNA, 22 nt
Filed under: Mus musculus (house mouse)
Lineage: Eukaryota; Metazoa; Chordata; Mammalia; Rodentia; Muridae
Description: mmu-miR-6387
Source: miRBase by way of RNAcentral
UGGAAUGGCUUCCCUUGUGUAU